Molecule: long non-coding RNA, 449 nt
Filed under: Homo sapiens (human)
Lineage: Eukaryota; Metazoa; Chordata; Mammalia; Primates; Hominidae
Description: HSALNT0342647
Source: RNAcentral
ACCCUGCCCAGGCCCCGGGGAGAAGCCUGGUAUUCUUCGUGUUUAUUUAAUUGUCAACUCUCUGUGUUCUAAGACGAUACCCUGGCCUUGACUCAGUACAACCUAGGACUGUAAGUCCCAUCAUGUCUAUGGACUUCAGUUUCCAGACAUGAAACACAAGAGGCUUGGACGAGAUUAGAAAUCAAGAACUCGAAUGCGUAUGGUCAGAGCCACGAGAGUUUCCAUAAAGGAACACAACCAUGUGGACAACUUGAUUAUGCCCUACAAAACUGAAUUCCUGUGAGCAUUCCUCUUCAAGAUGGAAGAAAAAGGGAAUAUUUCACAACCCCAAUGGUGAAACGUCUGCCUAUAGCCAACAAUACAAUCUCCAUCCAUGUAUGAUGUGACUUGCUCCUACAUGCCUUCCACCAUGAUUAUGAGGCCUCCUGAGCCAUGUGGAACUGUAAGUC